CCCAGACUCCUACGGGAGGCAGCAGUGGGGAAUAUUGCACAAUGGGGGAAACCCUGAUGCAGCGACGCCGCGUGAGCGAAGAAGUAUUUCGGUAUGUAAAGCUCUAUCAGCAGGGAAGAAAAAAAUGACGGUACCUGAGUAAGAAGCACCGGCUAAAUACGUGCCAGCAGCCGCGGUAAUACGUAUGGUGCAAGCGUUAUCCGGAUUUACUGGGUGUAAAGGGAGCGUAGGCGGCGCGUUAAGUCUGAUGUGAAAACCCGAGGCUCAACCACGGGAGUGCAUUGGAAACUGGCGGGCGGGAGUGCCGGAGAGGUAAGCGGAAUUCCUAGUGUAGCGGUGAAAUGCGUAGAUAUUAGGAGGAACACCAGUGGCGAAGGCGGCUUACUGGACGGCAACUGACGCUGAGGCUCGAAAGCGUGGGGAGCAAACAGGAUUAGAUACCCUGGUAACG
Molecule: ribosomal RNA, 451 nt
Filed under: uncultured bacterium
Lineage: Bacteria
Description: bacterial SSU rRNA
Rfam family: Bacterial small subunit ribosomal RNA
Source: RNAcentral